UCUAAGCACAUGCCUUAAUACGGUGAAGCCGCGAAUAGCUCAUUACAACAGCCAUCGUUUAUUAGAAUAUCGUUAUCCUACUUGGAUAACUGUGGCAAUUCUAGAGCUAAUACAUGCAAUAAAGCUCCGCCCGCAAGGAACGAGCGCAUUUAUUAGAAUAAAAACCAAUCGAGUUUCGACUCGUAAUUUGGUGAAUCUGAAUAACUUUGCCAAUCGCACAGUCCUAGUACUGGCGAUGUAUCUUUCAAGUGUCUGCCUUAUCAACUUUCGAUGGUACGCUAUACGCCUACCAUGGUAGUAACGGGUAACGGAGAAUAAGGGUUCGACUCCGGAGAGGGAGCCUGAGAAACGGCUACCACAUCCAAGGAAGGCAGCAGGCGCGCAAAUUACCCACUUCCAGAACGGAGAGGUAGUGACGAAAAAUUACGAGACAGUCCUCUUC
RNAcentral lists this ribosomal RNA (442 nucleotides) under unidentified nematode Sourhope farm. RNAcentral describes it as "SSU rRNA". It matches the Rfam family "Eukaryotic small subunit ribosomal RNA", at positions 58 to 496 of the family's 1831-position model. Lineage: Eukaryota; Metazoa; Nematoda. The record is from RNAcentral.